This 465-nucleotide ribosomal RNA is filed under the name uncultured bacterium. Its description in RNAcentral is "bacterial SSU rRNA". It matches the Rfam family "Bacterial small subunit ribosomal RNA", at positions 28 to 506 of the family's 1533-position model. The record is from RNAcentral.
GAUGAACGCUGGCGGCGUGCCUAACACAUGCAAGUCGAACGAAGCACUGAGAGUUUGAGAUUUCGGUCAAGAACUUUCUUUGACUUAGUGGCGGACGGGUGAGUAAUGCGUGAGCAACCUGCCUUUCAGAGGGGGACAACAGUUGGAAACGGCUGCUAAUACCGCAUACACCCUGAGGGGGAAAGUCGCAAGACGCUGUCAGAUGUGCCCAGAGGGGAUUAGCUAGUUGGUGAGGUAAAGGCUCACCAAGGCGACGAUCUCUAGCUGGUCUGAGAGGAUGAUCAGCCACAUUGGGACUGAGACACGGCCCAGACUCCUACGGGAGGCAGCAGUAGGGAAUAUUGCACAAUGGAGGAAACUCUGAUGCAGCCAUGCCGCGUGUGUGAAGAAGGCCUUCGGGUGUAAAGCACUUUCAGAGGGGAGGAGAAUGACGUUACCCUCAGAAGAAGCACCGGCUAACUCCGU